Molecule: ribosomal RNA, 496 nt
Filed under: uncultured bacterium
Lineage: Bacteria
Description: partial 16S ribosomal RNA
Rfam family: Bacterial small subunit ribosomal RNA
Source: RNAcentral
GAUGAACGCUGGCGGCGUGCCUAAUACAUGCAAGUCGAGCGAACAGACGAGGAGCUUGCUCCUCUGACGUUAGCGGCGGACGGGUGAGUAACACGUGGAUAACCUACCUAUAAGACUGGGAUAACUUCGGGAAACCGGAGCUAAUACCGGAUAAUAUAUUGAACCGCAUGGUUCAAUAGUGAAAGACGGUUUUGCUGUCACUUAUAGAUGGAUCCGCGCCGCAUUAGCUAGUUGGUAAGGUAACGGCUUACCAAGGCAACGAUGCGUAGCCGACCUGAGAGGGGAAUCGGCCACACGGGAGCUGAAAGACGGACCGGGAUCCAGCGGGGGGCAGGAGUAGGAAGUGUUCCGCAAUGGGCGAAGGCCUAACGGAGGAACGCCGCGUGAGUAAUAAAGGUCUUCGGAGCGUAAAACGCUGUUGUUAGGGAAGAACAAUUGUGUAGUAACUAUGCACGUCUUGACGGUACCUAAUCAGAAAGCCACGGCUAACUACGUG